UACGUAGGGGGCUAGCGUUGUCCGGAAUCAUUGGGCGUAAAGCGCGUGUAGGCGGCUCGAUUAGUCCGCUGUGAAAGUCGGGGGCUCAACCCUCGGAUGCCGGUGGAUACUGUCGGGCUUGAGUACGGAAGAGGCGAGUGGAAUUCCUGGUGUAGCGGUGAAAUGCGCAGAUAUCAGGAGGAACACCAAUUGCGAAGGCAGCUCGCUGGGACGUUACUGACGCUGAGACGCGAAAGCGUGGGGAGCAAACAGG
Molecule: ribosomal RNA, 253 nt
Filed under: uncultured bacterium
Lineage: Bacteria
Description: partial 16S ribosomal RNA
Rfam family: Bacterial small subunit ribosomal RNA
Source: RNAcentral